AUGGAGACUUUAGCUGUUGAACGGUAUCUGUUUGAGCCUGAAUCAGAGGAAGGAUCUGAUGUAGAGGAGCAACCUGCCAGGAGAUUGGAAAUGACUCCUUCAGACUGGCGUUCUUGUGGAAACUAUGCACAUAUGCCUCAGGAGAGAGAAAAUAUAUGUUGUCUAUAAAUACCUCAGGUCAUGAGAAGAAUGACCCAGGUUCCUAAGGAGAUAACCUGUAUGACUCACCAUCCUGGCCUUCAUCCGGUGUGCCUCAAUAUAUAUUCUUUGCGAAAUGCAAUGAAUAUUUACAGAGUUGACCAUGGCCAGUUGAGAAUCAGAGGGAUGGAAAGG
Molecule: long non-coding RNA, 333 nt
Organism: Etheostoma spectabile (orangethroat darter)
Lineage: Eukaryota; Metazoa; Chordata; Actinopteri; Perciformes; Percidae
Exons: 3
Source: RefSeq, a predicted model, not a curated record